AAUAGAUACCCAGGUAGUCCAUGCCGUAAACGAUGUCUACUAGCCGUUGGGGCCCUUGAGGCUUUAGUGGCGCAGCUAACGCGAUAAGUAGACCGCCUGGGGAGUACGGUCGCAAGACUAAAACUCAAAUGAAUUGACGGGGGCCCGCACAAGCGGUGGAGCAUGUGGUUUAAUUCGAUGCAACGCGAAGAACCUUACCUGGCCUUGACAUACAGAGAACUUUCCAGAGAUGGAUUGGUGCCUUCGGGAACUCUGAUACGGGUGCUGCAUGGCUGUCGUCAGCUCGUGUCGUGAGGUGUUGGGUUAAGUCCCGCAACGAGCGCAACCCUUUUCCUUAUUUGCCAGCACUUCGGGUGGGAACUUUAAGGAUACUGCCAGUGACAAACUGGAGGAAGGCGGGGAUGACGUCAAGUCAUCAUGGCCCUUACGGCCAGGGCUACACACGUGCUACAAUGGUCGGUACAAAGGGUUGCUACUGCGCGAGCAGAUGCUAAUCUCAAAAAGCCGAUCGUAGUCCGGAUCGCAGU
RNAcentral lists this ribosomal RNA (527 nucleotides) under uncultured bacterium. Its description in RNAcentral is "bacterial SSU rRNA". It matches the Rfam family "Bacterial small subunit ribosomal RNA", at positions 777 to 1304 of the family's 1533-position model. The record is from RNAcentral.